UUUGGUAAUUGCAAUUACAAAAUAACAAAAAUAUACAUCUUGCAGCUUCUCGAUUCUUCUGCACGUUGUUAUAUAUUUUCUCCAUUAUACGAACGCACCCAUCUUCUUCAUCUCUGCUAUUGUUUUAGCUCCAGCUUUAAUCUCUCUCUAAUUCAACAGAGGGACAGAGACCGUGAAAGGGCUCAAGCUAGAGCGGGCAACAAGGGCAAGCAAGUGAAAGAUGAUGGAUUAACCCCUGAACAAAGAAGAGAGAGGGAUGCGAAGGCACUUCAAGAAAAGCUAGCGAAAAAGGCAGCAC
Daucus carota subsp. sativus is the source of this 298-nucleotide long non-coding RNA. RefSeq lists it as uncharacterized. The record is from RefSeq and is a predicted model, not a curated record. The transcript is spliced from 3 exons. NCBI's taxonomy places the organism in Eukaryota, Viridiplantae, Streptophyta, Magnoliopsida, Apiales, Apiaceae.